Molecule: long non-coding RNA, 2159 nt
Organism: Carassius auratus (goldfish)
Lineage: Eukaryota; Metazoa; Chordata; Actinopteri; Cypriniformes; Cyprinidae
Source: Ensembl
GUGGUGAAAACUGACCCUAGCACAGUGAAGACAUGGUGGAAAUGUUUUAGCUAAAGACUUUAGAGAGAAAGCCCUCGUUCAACCACUUUCAGGAGCGUGUCAAAUAAGCAGAUGCCAGCCAAAUGUUGCUCUUGACAAGUGCAAGUCAUUUCUGGGUCACAUUCGGGCCAUUUGUGGGAAAGAGAGAACACACACAUACUCAAAUUUGCUUAACCAUCUGCUCCUGGUGCCUGUCGUGGUGUAACAUUACCUCGAGCAAACUUUCCUGGAAAGGACAGCAAUGGAGUCUACAUUAAUUUGGUCCAUUUGAUUUUACUAGUGGUGUUUACUUGAGUUAAUGUAUAAAUAACUUAAUGCACUUUUUAUUUGACUUGAGUAAAAGUAAAAAAAAAAGUACCUGUUUAAUGUACUUACAUAAUUACAUUAUCUACAGAUUAAAAGACCAUGGUUUAUGCAUUGAUUUAAUAAAUUAUGGCUUGUAAUUUCAUAUGAACCUAUAUUGCACAAAAUAUCUAUUUUGGGAAUAAAGUCCUAGAGACAGAUUUGGGAUAUUGCUGUAAGUUUGAGCUCAUGCUGACAUUAUUAUAAAUUAUUGUUAAUCGUCAGCUAGUUUUCCAGCAUUCCCAGCAGGCACAGUAUGUCAAUAUAAAGGCAGGUUGAUGUUGGACAUGACGUCGGAAGUUGCAUUUAUGUUGAGAAUAAUGUUCUCAGCUCUAAACCAAAAGCUCUAAAAUACUGCCUUCGGAGGCAGCAUUCCAAGGCGGGAGGGAGGGCAUCAAGCUAUAUCCAAAUCCAAAAAGUUCUGCUUUACUUUCUGUGUCCGGAGGUACCUUCUUCUGAUUGAAUUUUGAAGGUAGCAUAGAUGUACCCUUUCCUGCCUUUGAUAUCCCACAAUCAUGUGUUCCAUUGAUGGUUUAGCCAAAAAAUAAUAAUAUAAUAAAGUUGGAGACUGAAAGUUGUGUUUGGUGGCCAGUUUGUGUGUAAAUGUAUAUUUCUGGCUAACUUUUUGUCACUUUUGGUGUUACAGUACAUCUAGGGAGAGAUCAGUAUUGUAAUAAUUAAAUAUUAAUUUAGUUUUCACCAAAACUCGUGCCUCAGAACACUGUCAGAAAUCAAUUUCACCUGCAAAGUCAUUGCCUGAUAAAGCAGCGAGGCAGCAAGUCAGCUGCUUUUCCGAUGCAGCCUGAAAAUGGAGUUGACGUCAGUAUGUAAUGUGAAUUUAACAUUGACUUUACGUUGGAUUUUGAUUAUACAACCUAAAAGCAACAUAUCAAAGUCACCUGACGUCUGUAUUUGACAUAAAAUUUACAUUGACAUUAGACGUCGAGUAGACAUUGAAAUUUGGUUACUUGACUUCGCAACUAAGAUUAUGACGUUGUUUCUCUGCUGGGUUCAAACAGUUCACACAAUGAGCUAAACCUCGUGCACUUUUUCCAGCCGAUUUAGUUCUCAAAUAGCAAUGGCUCCAUACAGCACACUCGAGGAUCAAAUUACUUCUUGUUCGUGGCUCAUUUUUGAGUUCAGUGCAUUUUGAAAAAAUGAUUCAACGGCUUCAUCGUUCAUCUAAAGGAAUAAGCUUAAACAAAUGAUUCGUUAUCGAUUGUCAAUCUCUUUAGCCUGAAAUAGUGAACAGUUAUUUUUUUGUAUAACAUGUUAUAACAAGUAAAUCAGGCAGCACUGAUUUCUGUGUUAGCAGGUUAAUCAAUUUUAUCGGCCAUGGAAGGUCCCAAGCUCUGCCGUCUUUGCCCCGGUCAUUAGCCAUACUGAUUUGUGCAGCACGUUAAAAGUUGUUAAAGAUAGUCUCUAUUGACAUCUCUGCACAUCCCUUUCACAGAAUAAUCUCAAAGGGAGCGUCCAUUCAUCUUCAGCCUGGUACUUGUCCUCGAACUAAAAGGGGUAGCAAUAUUUCUGCCAGCGUCUAGCAGGGUGAAACUGUGUUAAGUUUUUUUAUCCGGCUGUAUCUGAUAAGGAGAGUCCAAGUAUAGGACUGUAUAAAUCACACAAUUAGAACUUUUCUGUCAUUCAUAACGUCAGAGAACAUUGUGUUCUCUUUAAUUAUGUUUAAUAAUGAUCUAUGGCCUGUAGGACAGUGACUCAUAAUUUAAUCACACAGAAACUAAAAAUUAUGUUUCUAAUAACUGUAUUUAUUACAGAUGAAG